Molecule: ribosomal RNA, 497 nt
Filed under: uncultured bacterium
Lineage: Bacteria
Description: partial 16S ribosomal RNA
Rfam family: Bacterial small subunit ribosomal RNA
Source: RNAcentral
GAUGAACGCUGGCGGCGUGCCUAAUACAUGCAAGUCGAGCGAACAGACGAGGAGCUUGCUCCUCUGACGUUAGCGGCGGACGGGUGAGUAACACGUGGAUAACCUACCUAUAAGACUGGGAUAACUUCGGGAAACCGGAGCUAAUACCGGAUAAUAUAUUGAACCGCAUGGUUCAAUAGUGAAAGACGGUUUUGCUGUCACUUAUAGAUGGAUCCGCGCCGCAUUAGCUAGUUGGUAAGGUAACGGCUUACCAAGGCAACGAUGCGUAGCCGACCUGAGAGGGUGAUCGGCAAGACUGUAAAUGAGACAAGAUCCAGAAUACGACGGGAGGAAGAAGUAGGGAAGCUUCCGCAAUGGGAGAAAGCAGAAAGGAGCAAAGAAGAGUGAGUGAGGAAGGUAUUCGGAUCGGAAAAAUCUGUUAUUAGGGAAGAACAGAUGUGUAAGUAACUGUGCACAUCUUGACGGUAACUAAUCAGAAAGACACGGCUAACUACGUG